Molecule: ribosomal RNA, 501 nt
Filed under: uncultured bacterium
Lineage: Bacteria
Description: partial 16S ribosomal RNA
Rfam family: Bacterial small subunit ribosomal RNA
Source: RNAcentral
AUUGAACGCUGGCGGCAGGCUUAACACAUGCAAGUCGAGCGGGGAAGGUUGCUUUGGUAACUGACCUAGCGGCGGACGGGUGAGUAAUGCUUAGGAAUCUGCCUAUUAGUGGGGGACAACAUUCCGAAAGGAAUGCUAAUACCGCAUACGCCCUACGGGGGAAAGCAGGGGAUCUUCGGACCUUGCGCUAAUAGAUGAGCCUAAGUCGGAUUAGCUAGUUGGUGGGGUAAAGGCCUACCAAGGCGACGAGCUGUAGCGGGUCUGAGAGGAUGAUCCGCCACACUGGGACUGAGACACGGCCCAGACUCCUACGGGAGGCAGCAGUGGGGAAUAUUGGACGAUGGGCGGAAGCCUGAUCCAGCCAUGCCGCGUGUGUGAAGAAGGCCUUUUGGUUGUAAAGCACUUUAAGCGAGGAGGAGGCUCCUUUAGUUAAUACCUAAAGAGAGUGGACGUUACUCGCAGAAUAAGCACCGGCUAACUCUGUGCCAGCCGCCGCCGUAA